GAGCAGGAGCCCCGGGGGCCAGUCAGAGCUGGGUAGCCGUGCCAACCCCAUUGGAGAUGUAUGUUUGAAGAUAAUCGUAGGAAAUCCUCCACCCAACCCAGAGAAACCCUUUCCUGGUCAGCAGCAACCCUGGAGUACCCUACUACCUGACAGGUGGGUUGUACAGGCCCACUCAGGCUCUGACAUGGGCUUUGAUGGACUUCUCCCAAACCAUAGCUAGGGUCAAGGCCAUCUAAAUUCCUGACAAUUCAGAAACGGAGUUACUCUCCUAUGAUGAAAUUAACUCUGAUGACACAAUGAUCCUAUCAUGGUGGUCUGGGGUCAGGGGGGCUCACGGUUGUUGAGUGGUGUGUGUGAGGCAGGACCAGGAGGGCUCACGGUUGUUGAGUGGUGUGUGUGAGGCAGGACUAGGGGGGGCUCACGGUUGUUGAGUGGUGGGUGUGAGGCAGGACCAGGAGGGCUGACGGUUGUUGAGUGGUGUGUGUGAGGCAGGACCAGGGGGGCUCACGGUUGUUGAGUGGUGUGAGUGAGGCAGGACCAGGGGGGCUCACGGUUGUUGAGUGGUGUGUGUGAGGCGGGACCAGGGGUAGGGGAGUUCGUGUUGGAAGUGUGGUGAGGUGCACAGCUGCAGCCACACUGUCAUUACUGAUCCUCUGGUGGCUGGGAAGAAAGGGGCUCCUUGCCACAUAGGCUGCCCUCC
This 700-nucleotide long non-coding RNA is filed under the name Oncorhynchus mykiss (rainbow trout). RNAcentral's name for it is "lncRNA (ENSOMYG00000064077.1)". The record is from RNAcentral. Lineage: Eukaryota; Metazoa; Chordata; Actinopteri; Salmoniformes; Salmonidae.